RNAcentral lists this ribosomal RNA (399 nucleotides) under Monostilifera sp. Hoplo_CB161_MCB010_18_01. RNAcentral's name for it is "partial 16S ribosomal RNA". It matches the Rfam family "Bacterial large subunit ribosomal RNA", at positions 1850 to 2550 of the family's 2925-position model. Lineage: Eukaryota; Metazoa; Nemertea; Enopla; Monostilifera. The record is from RNAcentral.
AGGUAUUUUCUGCUCGGUGAUUUUUAACAGCUGCGGUAAUUUGACCGUGCAAAGGUAGCAUAAUCAUUUGUCUUGUAAUUUAGGGCUGGAAUGAAUGGGAUUACAAAAGUUUAGCUUUUUUCUUAUAAUGAUAAUAAUUUGUUUUUUUUGUGAGGAAACAGGAAUUUAAUAGGAGGACAAGAAGACCCUUUUGAGCUUUACUUUGUUUUUGUUUUUUAUUAUAAGACUUAGUUUGAUUGGGGCGAUCUAGGAAGAGGUAUCUUCUUUUUUUUUGAUUAUGAUGAUCCANCAUUGUUGAUUUUAUGAUUAAGUUACCAAAGGGAUAACAGCGUGAUUCUUUUUGUGAGCACUUAUUAAAGAAAGAGAUUGCGACCUCGAUGUUGACUUAUUUUUUCCUUU